CUCACGUCCAACUACCUAUUUUGUUGUUGUUUUGAUCAUCUCCAUGAAUCGGUGGUUAGUUAGUAGUGUUCUGGUUGAAUGGAUGGUUAGUUAGUAGUGUUCUGGUUGAAUGGAUGGUUAGUUAGUAGUGAUCUGGUUGAAUGGAUGGUUAGUUAGUAGUGUUCUGAUUGAAUGGAUGGGUAGUUAGUAGUAUUCUGUUUGAAUGGAUGGUUAGUUAGUAGUGUUCUGGUUGAAUGGAUAGUAAGUUAGUAGUGUUCUGGUUGAAUGGAUGCUUAGUUAGUAGAGUUCUGAUUGAAUGGAUGGUUAGUUAGUAGUGUUCUGGUUGAAUGGAUGGUUAGUUAGUAGUUAGUGUUCUGGUUGAAUGGAUAGUUAGUUAGUAGUGUUCUGGUUGAAUGGAUGGUUAGUUAGUAGUGUUCUGAUUGAAUGGAUGGGUAGUUAGUAGUAUUCUGGUUGAAUGGAUGGUUAGUUGGUAAUGUUGUGGUUGAAUGGAUGGUUAGUUAGUGGUGUUCUGGUUGAAUGGAUGGUUACUAGUGUUCUGGUUGAAUGGAUGGUUAGUUAGUGGUGUUCUGGUUGUGUUCUUGUUGAAUGGAUGGUUAGUUAGUAGUGUUCUGGUUGAAUGGAUGGUUACUAGUGUUCUGGUUGAAUGGAUAGUUAGUUAGUGGAGUUCUGGUUGAAUUGAUGGUUAGUUAGUGGUGUUCUGGUUGUCUUCUGGUUGAAUGGAUGGUUAGUUAGUGGAGUUCUGGUUGAAUUGAUGGUUAGUUAGUGGUGUUCUGGUUGUGUUCUGGUUGAUUGGAUGGUUAGUUAGUGGUGUUCUGGUUGAAUGGAUGGUUAGUUAGUGGUGCUCUGGUUGAAUGGAUGGUUAGUUAUUGGUGUUUUGGAUGAUUAGUUAGUGGUGUUCUGGUUGAAUGGAUGGUUAGUUAGUGGUGUUUUGGAUGAUUAGUUAGUGGUGUUCUGGUUGAAUGGAUGGUUAGUUAGUGGUGUUUUGGAUGAUUAGUUAGU
This 999-nucleotide long non-coding RNA is filed under the name Salmo salar (Atlantic salmon). RNAcentral describes it as "lncRNA (ENSSSAG00000107816.1)". The record is from RNAcentral. Lineage: Eukaryota; Metazoa; Chordata; Actinopteri; Salmoniformes; Salmonidae.